Long non-coding RNA from Myotis myotis, 844 nucleotides. RefSeq lists it as uncharacterized. The transcript is spliced from 3 exons. The record is from RefSeq and is a predicted model, not a curated record. Lineage: Eukaryota; Metazoa; Chordata; Mammalia; Chiroptera; Vespertilionidae.
CGUGCUGGCCGACGUCACGGGCCAGGCGCCCGCCCGGGUGCUCGCGGGACCUCUCCAGCCGCGCGUGGGUGCCUGGCUGCCGAGUGGGGAGUGACGGGGCCUGGCGAGUGGGCGCUCUUCUUCCGGUCACCGGGGCGUCCCUGGCGCCGAGUGGGACUGGCCGGCCUCUGUUCUUAGCCUCGCCGAAGGGGCGCUCGCCGCCGGUUGUCUGCCUGCUUAUCUUCCUCACUCUCCUGGCGUUCCUGCAUUCAGACAAGUGGAGCUGAAAGACAAACCCUGGUGUGUGUCCUGACAAGUGGAGCUGAGGUUCACACCCCAGCAAGCAACCUAAUGAAGAGAGAAGAAACAUGGGGAUGAGUGCCUAUUUGUACCAGCCUGAUGGGUGUGAUUGGUCGCUUCCUGUAUGCGCCCGCCACCGGGAUCGAACUCCGAACCUAGGCAUGUGCCCCCACUGGAAAUCAAACAGGCAACCUUUGGGUGCACAGGACACUCCAAUCGGGGCCAGGGCGCCACCGACUUCUGAGUAUUUAUUUUGUGUAGAUAUUCCUCAUCUUGAUCCCUCAAUGCCUGGGCUUUUAAAAUAUUUUUUAAAAUUAAUUUCAGAGAGGAAGGGAGAGAGAGAGAGACAAACAUCAACACAUCAAUGAUGAGAGGAUCAGCCAUUGUCUGCCUCCCGCCUCCGACUGGGGAUCGAACCCACAGCUGGGGGAUGCGCCCCAACAGGGUAUGGAACCUCGGCCCCCUGGCUCAGAGGCCGGCACCCAACCACCGAGCCUCGCCAGCCGGCAAGGGUCAGCUCUUAAGAGCAUUUCAGCCAGCGCAGUCUCAGGCCGCAAAUGGUAAA